Molecule: ribosomal RNA, 478 nt
Filed under: uncultured bacterium
Lineage: Bacteria
Description: partial 16S ribosomal RNA
Rfam family: Bacterial small subunit ribosomal RNA
Source: RNAcentral
GAUGAACGCUAGCGGCAGGCCUAACACAUGCAAGUCGAGGGAGAAGCCCUUUCGGGGGCAGAAACCGGCGCACGGGUGCGUAACGCGUAUGCAACCUACCUUUCACAGGGGGAUAGCCCGAAGAAAUUUGGAUUAAUACCCCAUAAUAUUAUUGGAUGGCAUCAUUUGAUAAUUAAAACUGCGGUGGUGAAAGACGGGCAUGCGUCCUAUUAGCUAGUUGGAGUGGUAACGGCACCCCAAGGCUACGAUAGGUAGGGGUCCUGAGAGGGAGAUCCCCCACACUGGUACUGAGACAGGGACCAGACUCCUACGGGAGGCAGCAGUGAGGAAUAUUGGUCAAUGGUCGGAAGACUGAACCAGCCAUGCCGCGUGCAGGAAGAAUGCCUUAUGGGUUGUAAACUGCUUUUAUAUGGGAAGAAUAAGGUGUACGUGUACAUUGAUGACGGUACCAUAUGAAUAAGCAUCGGCUAACUCCGUG